RNAcentral lists this unclassified non-coding RNA (240 nucleotides) under soil metagenome. Its description in RNAcentral is "partial contains 5.8S ribosomal RNA, internal transcribed spacer 2, and large subunit ribosomal RNA". The record is from RNAcentral.
AACGCACGAGACCUGCGGACCUGCGGAAGGAUCAUUACUGAGGAGGGUCCAUGGCCCGAUCUCCAACCCUUUGAUAAAAACACCAUGUUGCUUUGGCAGGCCCGCCCGUUGGGGCCGCGGGGGAUCGCCGGUCCCUAGCCCGUGCCUGCCGGUAGCCUUCACAAAACUCUCAAAAUGUUGUCGUCUGAGAUGAUUAGAAUAAUAAAACUUUUAGCAAUGGAUCUCUAGAUCGGAAGAGCA